UUCCGGAAUUUUAAAUGUAGGUUGGUUUUAGAGGAUAAUAUCGUUAUGAACUUGUAUCCGGUGUUUACUUUUUCGGAAAAUCGAAAGAUUUGCCCCCACGCUUAUGUUCUUUCAGAAAAGAUAUCCAUGGAACAAAUCAUCUGAAAACUAAGAGAGGAUGAAGAAUACUUCUGUUAAAAAAGUUGAAGUAACUGAUGAGCAGAUCAAUCCAACUUGAACAUGAUAUCAUUUCUCCAAUGAUGAAAACAAGUCUCUCUAUACUCAAGCAUUGAUAUUUUUAAAGUCAACUGAAACUGGAACAGGUCAUACAUGCAGACUACAGUGAUGUGUUGCACAGUUCCGAAAACAUGCAGCCACCACUAGCAUCAGCAUGAUAAGUGUAAGUGGGUCAUCAAAAAAUGAGAACCACUCAGGGAC
Long non-coding RNA from Saccostrea cuccullata (small rock oyster), 417 nucleotides. RefSeq lists it as uncharacterized. The transcript has 3 exons. Lineage: Eukaryota; Metazoa; Mollusca; Bivalvia; Ostreida; Ostreidae. The record is from RefSeq and is a predicted model, not a curated record.